ACAACAAAAGCUUGCUGGUUACUGCACCAAGUUUUGGUGUCAACAGACUAAUUUGUUGUUUCUACUGCCGGCAAUGCCGAUGGUGUUCUUUAUAUUUGAAGAGGAGUCGACGUGGCUUUGGAUAUUGCAAUCAGACGUCAUUAGCUCUGAAGACAAGUAUCAGACUUCUAUAAUUAGUUUCGGAACAUGAAGCAUUCAUACUCCGAAACUGGGGGGCCUGUGUUGACAC
This 229-nucleotide long non-coding RNA is filed under the name Setaria italica (foxtail millet). Its description in RNAcentral is "long non-coding RNA (SITA_LNC001900)". The record is from RNAcentral. Lineage: Eukaryota; Viridiplantae; Streptophyta; Magnoliopsida; Poales; Poaceae.